GCCAGGUGCAGUCGUGCACACUGAUAGUCCCAGCUACUUAGGAGGCUGUGGCAGGAGGGUGGCUUGAGUACAGGAGCUCUGGGCUGUAGUGCGCUAUGCUGAACAGGUGUCUGCACUAAGUUUGGCAUCAGUGUGGUAACCUCUUGGGAACAGGUCAAAAAUCCUGUGCUGAUCAGUAGUGGAAUCACACCUGUGAAUAGCCACUAUAAUCUAAGCAACAUGAUGAGACUCUGUCUCU
This 238-nucleotide signal recognition particle RNA is filed under the name Saimiri boliviensis boliviensis (Bolivian squirrel monkey). RNAcentral's name for it is "Metazoan signal recognition particle RNA (ENSSBOG00000016309.1)". It matches the Rfam family "Metazoan signal recognition particle RNA". From Rfam's summary of the family: The signal recognition particle (SRP) is a universally conserved ribonucleoprotein. It is involved in the co-translational targeting of proteins to membranes. Lineage: Eukaryota; Metazoa; Chordata; Mammalia; Primates; Cebidae. The record is from RNAcentral.